RNAcentral lists this ribosomal RNA (198 nucleotides) under uncultured bacterium. Its description in RNAcentral is "partial 16S ribosomal RNA". It matches the Rfam family "Bacterial small subunit ribosomal RNA", at positions 328 to 539 of the family's 1533-position model. The record is from RNAcentral.
ACGCUCGACACCUACGGGAGUCAGCAGUGGGGAAUAUUGCACAAUGGGGGAAACCCUGAUGCAGCGACGCCGCGUGAGCGAAGAAGUAUUUCGGUAUGUAAAGCUCUAUCAGCAGGGAAGAAACUGACGGUACCUGACUAAGAAGCACCGGCUAAAUACGUGCCUGCAGCCGCGGUAAUCUGAGCGGGCUGGCAAGGC